CCUACGGGAGGCAGCAGUGAGGAAUAUUGGUCAAUGGGAGAGAUCCUGAACCAGCCAAGCCGCGUGAGGGAAGACGGCCCUAUGGGUUGAAAACCUCUUUUGUCGGAGAACAAAACCCGGGACGAGUCCCGGACUGCGUUUAUCCGAAGAAAAAGCAUCGGCUAACUCCGUGCCAGCAGCCGCGGUAAUACGGAGGAUGCGAGCGUUAUCCGGAUUUAUUGGGUUUAAAGGGAGCGUAGAGGGGUUGUUAAGUUAGUUGUGAAAGUUUGCGGCUCAACCGUAAAAUUGCAAUUGAUACUGGCAGCCUUGAGUACAGUUGAGGUAGGCGGAAUUCGUGGUGUAGCGGUGAAAUGCUUAGAUAUCACGAAGAACUCCGAUUGCGAAGGCAGCCCACUAAACUGCCACUGACAUUGAUGCUCGAAAGUGUGGGGAUCAAACAGGAUUAGAUACCCCAGUAGUC
RNAcentral lists this ribosomal RNA (460 nucleotides) under uncultured bacterium. RNAcentral's name for it is "partial 16S ribosomal RNA". It matches the Rfam family "Bacterial small subunit ribosomal RNA", at positions 338 to 795 of the family's 1533-position model. The record is from RNAcentral.